GAUGAACGCUGGCGGCGUGCCUAAUACAUGCAAGUCGAGCGAACGGACGAGAAGCUUGCUUCUCUGAUGUUAGCGGCGGACGGGUGAGUAACACGUGGAUAACCUACCUAUAAGACUGGGAUAACUUCGGGAAACCGGAGCUAAUACCGGAUGAUAUUUUGAACCGCAUGGUUCAAAAGUGAAAGACGGUCUUGCUGUCACUUAUAGAUGGAUCCGCGCUGCAUUAGCUAGUUGGUAAGGUAACGGCUUACCAAGGCAACGAUGCAUAGCCGACCUGAGAGGGUGAUCGGCCACACUGGAACUGAGACACGGUCCAGACUCCUACGGGAGGCAGCAGUAGGGAAUCUUCCGCAAUGGGCGAAAGCCUGACGGAGCAACGCCGCGUGAGUGAUGAAGGUCUUCGGAUCGUAAAACUCUGUUAUUAGGGAAGAACAUAUGUGUAAGUAACUGUGCACAUCUGGACGGUACCUAAUCAGAAAGCCACGGCGAACUACG
Molecule: ribosomal RNA, 495 nt
Filed under: uncultured bacterium
Lineage: Bacteria
Description: partial 16S ribosomal RNA
Rfam family: Bacterial small subunit ribosomal RNA
Source: RNAcentral